GCAGUAGCCGCGGUAAUACGAAGGGUGCAAGCGUUAAUCGGAAUUACUGGGCGUAAAGCGUGCGUAGGUGGUGGUUUAAGUCCGUUGUGAAAGCCCUGGGCUCAACCUGGGAAUUGCAGUGGAUACUGGAUCACUAGAGUGUGGUAGAGGACAGUGGAAUUUCCGGUGUAGCAGUGAAAUGCGUAGAGAUCGGAAGGAACAUCCGUGGCGAAGGCGACUAUCUGGGCCAACACUGACACUGAGGCACGAAAGCGUGGGGAGCAAGCAGGAUUAGAUACCCCAGUAGUCCCUGUCUCUUAUAC
RNAcentral lists this ribosomal RNA (302 nucleotides) under uncultured bacterium. RNAcentral describes it as "partial 16S ribosomal RNA". It matches the Rfam family "Bacterial small subunit ribosomal RNA", at positions 508 to 807 of the family's 1533-position model. The record is from RNAcentral.